AUAACAGAGAGCAAACAGUACGGAGACAGGAUUCAGGCUACCCACAUCAAAUACUUUAUCUCUACCGAAUACAGUGACGCAGUAUGGAGAAGUACUAGAAAACAAAGCAAAUUACUUUGCGGGAAAAUAUUCAGUGAAUGCUCUAAACAAGACCUCUUCAAAUUCAUAGGAGAUAACAGAUGGACAAAGUUGAAGACAGAUUACGUUAUAGAGAACACACCGUCUCGUCCGGGGAUCAAACAUUCCUCCCACUCCCAGUUAGCAUGUCCUUCCUCCUCUUCCUGUCAGUGCUAAUAACGUAUUGAGAAAACUGUUCUGUUAUAGGUAUUAUUGGAGGACUUCGCCGCUUCGACGCGCCGCGCAAACUAGCAUUCUUGCUUCGCAUCGUCGAUCGUUGCUCUGCUUCGCAGACUCCAGAGCAACGAU
Bolinopsis microptera is the source of this 426-nucleotide long non-coding RNA. RefSeq lists it as uncharacterized. The record is from RefSeq and is a predicted model, not a curated record. The transcript is spliced from 3 exons. NCBI's taxonomy places the organism in Eukaryota, Metazoa, Ctenophora, Tentaculata, Lobata, Bolinopsidae.